Molecule: long non-coding RNA, 363 nt
Organism: Aphis gossypii (cotton aphid)
Lineage: Eukaryota; Metazoa; Arthropoda; Insecta; Hemiptera; Aphididae
Exons: 3
Source: RefSeq, a predicted model, not a curated record
CAAAAUCCCAUAGCUUGAUUAGCUUCAGCAUGAUGACCAGGUGGACGAACAAUAGCAAAACCAUUUUUUACAUCACCCAGGGCAGCUAUUUACAAAAUUGCCAAAUCAAUAACACAACCAACAGCCAUUCGAGCAGCUGGAGCUGUAUGUAAUUCAUUCCAUGUAGUGUCAGAAUCCACCCCUAAUCCACCACAAGGCAAUCGCACCAAUGCUUUCACAGGCAAUUCAGCUAAUUUAGAACUAUCCAUUUUUUGACGACUUGCAAGGUUGAUGUUGUAUCUACAUGAAACAUAUUUCAUGUAACACCAAUGUACUUACCCGAUCCGUUAAUUUUGAAAGACACCAAAUAAACUUGAUGUAAUA